CUUCGGGAAGGAAUAAAGGAAGGAACUCUCUAAAAUUCUAAAGUGGCAUUCUGUAAAAAGCAAUGCUAAGGCAACUGCUGUGAUCCUACUGAGGGAUGGUCUCAGAUAUCACAGUGGAUCACAGAGAGAAUAGAGCACUGUUAAAACCAAGAAACAAGAUCAUCUCAGUGAUGACAGAGGGAAUUAAGGUGCUGGAAACAGUAAGGAUUUAUUUUUUUUUUCUUUCUUUGUUAGAAAUCAUUGAUUCAGAGUUUCAGUCCUUAAGGGACAUCUAUUGAUCGCAAAAAGACUGAGAAAUAUUCUGUGAGGACAAGGUGUUUCCCAUCUGUUCUGAACAAUCCUAAUCUGUGCCACCUGAGUCUCAGGCCUGGCGCUAUUUAAAUGCAGCUGAGAGGCUUUUUCUGAUUCUUUCUCCUGGGUGCACUGUGGGCUUGUGUUGCAGUUGUUUUUUCUGUUGAUCCUCUUAAAACUUUCUGGGUUAUCCUACUGUCUAGUCCUCACCAUGCAGGAGGUUAUUAAUUGAAUCUCUGGGAUUCCUGGUUGUGCAGAAUGGUGCCCAUCCAUGAGAGGAUAGCUGCUGAAGAUGCUCCUCUCUUUUCAGAUGCUGCUCCCCAGCAACUGUGUGGGGAUGUGUCAUGACUGUGGAGAUGAAAUCCACAGCUUGUCCCAGGCAGUGGUGGAGCAGGUUUAUAUUAACAAACUGAAGAAAUAUGUCUGGCAAGUCACGGAGGCAGCAGAGAUGUGAUGGGUUUGGCUUCUGCAAAAGAUUGCUCUGAGCUUUCUCACUGGUUCCUGAGGAAGCUCCAUCUCCUGUGAGAAUUUUCUGGGCUCACAGGACCUGUCUACAUGAACCAUGGAAAGGAAGAGGGAAAAGUGACAUAAACAAAAAUGACAAUUGAACCAAACAGUCCCUCCUUUACCCCAAAACAGCAUGUGUCCAGAAGAAACUUCACGCACCUCAUUGUUUGCCUGCAAAGCCUAUGUUGCAGUGUUGUCAAACCAUCAUGGAAACCUGGAUUUUUGCACAUUGUGUGAAGAGUGUAGCAGCGAAUCAGUGCCUCCUCAGACACCUCCUGUUUUCACUUCUCCUAGGCUUCAAAGAACUUGGUUUUCUUCUUCAUACAGCAUGAAAGCAACAAGAUCUUUUCCUAAUUUCUCAGCUGUUAAAAGUACACUUGUUACCAUUGCCACAGUGGCCUAAAUUUUCUUUCCCUGUGCCACAGAAGGAAUCGCUAACUCCCCAGUUCAAUUUUUUUGUCCUCCAUUCCUCAGAUAAUGCAAUUUCUAGAAAGCAAGCCUCCUCCUCUCCCCUCUCUGUGCAGCACCUAGUCUUUUUCAUUGCAUUUCCUUAUUGCUACCCAUAUCUGCCAGCACCAGCAAGGGCUCUUUGUGCCUUCACCCUCCCGAGGGCAGGUUCUCAUCCAGAUCUCGCUGCCACGGAGGCCCCGCAGCCACACUGUCCUCAGACAGCCCUCGGGAUCCUCUGCUCCUCGCUCAGAGGCAGAAGGCAGCAGAUGGGUUCUCAGAUGGUGAUGAGGACAGCGAGGCACAGGAUGUGCACGAGUGUCCCUUGUAGACAGCAAGCAGGAACAGACUGUGAAAGGAGGGUCAGGCAGUUUUCAGUCCUGCUUUGAGGAGGACAGAAAUGGCAGCUGGUGAAGAAGUCUGAAAUUUCAAAGUCUGAUCUCUGAGCAAAAUGUGAAACUUAGAAGUUGAAAGUUUUACUUGAAAGCAGUUUUCUAUAUCUAGCAUUUGAACUGUCAAAAACAUGGACACAACACACUUUCACAUUUUUUUUUUGGAAAUCCUUCUGAAAACAUGCAGCAGGAUAUACAGAAAAUAUUAGACAACUUUUGUAAGAUUUUUGCCGUUCUGGCAAA
Molecule: non-coding RNA, 1880 nt
Organism: Meleagris gallopavo (turkey)
Lineage: Eukaryota; Metazoa; Chordata; Aves; Galliformes; Phasianidae
Source: RefSeq, a predicted model, not a curated record